Molecule: ribosomal RNA, 426 nt
Filed under: uncultured bacterium
Lineage: Bacteria
Description: bacterial SSU rRNA
Rfam family: Bacterial small subunit ribosomal RNA
Source: RNAcentral
UGGGGAAUAUUGGACAAUGGGCGCAAGCCUGAUCCAGCAACGCCGCGUGGAGGAUGAAGGUCUUCGGAUCGUAAACUCCUGUCAGACGGGACGAAGGUAGUGGGGUAAAUAAUCCCGCUGCUUGACGGUACUGCCAGAGGAAGCCCCGGCUAACUCCGUGCCAGCAGCCGCGGUAAUACGGAGGGGGCGAGCGUUAUUCGGAAUUAUUGGGCGUAAAGCGUGCGCAGGCGGUUUUGUAAGUCUGACGUGAAAGCCCCGGGCUUAACCUGGGAAUUGCGUUGGAGACUGCAAGGCUUGAAUCUGGCAGAGGGGGGUAGAAUUCCACGUGUAGCAGUGAAAUGCGUAGAGAUGUGGAGGAACACCGAUGGCGAAGGCAGCCCCCUGGGUCAAGAUUGACGCUCAUGCACGAAAGCGUGGGGAGCAAAC